AUCAGUAGAGGAGCAAAGGACAAGAGUAAUGUAUAGGUUAAAAAUACAUGAAAGGGGAGUUUGCCGAAAUCUUGAAAAAUCAAGAUUGGGUAUAUAGUUAAUAGCUAUAUAACUGUCACUAUUAUCAAAAUAGUGUUGUGCUC
Molecule: non-coding RNA, 143 nt
Filed under: fish gut metagenome
Description: Lysine riboswitch
Rfam family: Lysine riboswitch aptamer
About the family: Riboswitches are metabolite binding domains within certain messenger RNAs that serve as precision sensors for their corresponding targets. Allosteric rearrangement of mRNA structure is mediated by ligand binding, and this results in modulation of gene expression.
Source: RNAcentral